Molecule: ribosomal RNA, 460 nt
Filed under: uncultured bacterium
Lineage: Bacteria
Description: partial 16S ribosomal RNA
Rfam family: Bacterial small subunit ribosomal RNA
Source: RNAcentral
CCUACGGGGCGCAGCAGUGAGGAAUAUUGGUCAAUGGACGAGAGUCUGAACCAGCCAAGUAGCGUGAAGGAUGACUGCCCUAUGGGUUGUAAACUUCUUUUAUAUGGGAAUAAAAUGUUCCACGUGUGGGAUUUUGUAUGUACCAUAUGAAUAAGGAUCGGCUAACUCCGUGCCAGCAGCCGCGGUAAUACGGAGGAUCCGAGCGUUAUCCGGAUUUAUUGGGUUUAAAGGGAGCGUAGGUGGAUUGUUAAGUCAGUUGUGAAAGUUUGCGGCUCAACCGUAAAAUUGCAGUUGAAACUGGCAGUCUUGAGUACAGUAGAGGUGGGCGGAAUUCGUGGUGUAGCGGUGAAAUGCUUAUAUAUCACGAAGAACUCCGAUUGCGAAGGCAGUUCACUGGACUGCAACUGACACUGAGGCUCGAAAGUGUGGGUAUCAAACAGGAUUAGAUACCCUUGUAGUC